AGGAGCAUCCAGAGGAACAUCCUCGAUCUCCCUCCGAACAGUUAGAGCCUGAGAACCUUGAUCUUUCACAAUAUUCUUAUCUCCAGACUCCCUUCUAAAUGAAGACAUUCUUAAAAAUCUUUGAAAUAAAUCCUAUGAAACUAGAAAUAAAAGGAAGGAAAGAAAGGAUCAACCUCACGAAUACAUCGAUGAUGAUGGAGAAGCCGACAA
RNAcentral lists this long non-coding RNA (210 nucleotides) under Elaeis guineensis (African oil palm). RNAcentral describes it as "long non-coding RNA (EGUI_LNC023278)". Lineage: Eukaryota; Viridiplantae; Streptophyta; Magnoliopsida; Arecales; Arecaceae. The record is from RNAcentral.